CAAAGGAAGUUGACGGGGGCCCGCACAAGCGGUGGAGCAUGUGGUUUAAUUCGAAGCAACGCGAAGAACCUUACCAGGUCUUGACAUCCCCUGACAACCGAGAGAUCGGGCGUUCCCCUUCGGGGGGACAGGGUGACAGGUGGUGCAUGGUUGUCGUCAGCUCGUGUCGUGAGAUGUUGGGUUAAGUCCCGCAACGAGCGCAACCCUCGACCUUAGUUGCCAGCAUUCAGUUGGGCACUCUAGCGAGACUGCCCGGUAAUAAACCGGAGGAAGGUGGGGAUGACGUCAAAUCAUCAUGCCCCUUAUGACCUGGGCUACAAACGUGAUACAAUGGCUGGAACAAAGGGAGGCGAAGGGGUGACCUGGAGCGAAACCCAAAAAUACAGUCUCAGUUCGGAUUGAAGUCUGCAACUCGACUUCAUGAAGUCGGAAUCGCUAGUAAUCGCGGAUCAGAACGCCGCGGUGAAUACGUUCUCGGGGUUU
RNAcentral lists this ribosomal RNA (483 nucleotides) under uncultured Anoxybacillus sp. RNAcentral's name for it is "bacterial SSU rRNA". It matches the Rfam family "Bacterial small subunit ribosomal RNA", at positions 902 to 1382 of the family's 1533-position model. Lineage: Bacteria; Bacillati; Bacillota; Bacilli; Caryophanales; Anoxybacillaceae. The record is from RNAcentral.